CAUUGGUGUAGAGGUUGGGUGAGAACGGGACGUUUUGCUUCAUUAUCAAGAAGUUGACAGGGAUCAGUCGAGUGAGCAUCUCCGACACGGCAAUAACUCCAUAUUUCGUCGUAAUAACAGUUUGCAAUCAUGGUUAAUUAUGGCAUUGUGUUGCUGUUGGGUGUUGUAUCGUUGAUGUCGACCACGAGAGAAAAUCUUUCAAAAGGAAAGAGAAAAGGCAACAUAAGUCAAUCGAGUGAGCAUCUCCGACCUGGCAACAACUGGAUUCUUCGUCGUAUUACUAGGUCGCAAUCACGGUUAACUAUGCCGUCAUGCUGCUAUUGGUUGUUCUAUCGUCGAUGGCUGGGUCGACCACUGGUGUACCGACGUCUCCUGAAUAAGGCGGAUAUCAAACAGCAACGCCACCGCCUUACUACGCAACAAUAUACGCAACGACCAGAUACUACACCGAGGUUGCACUGUUGGGUUUACAGUUAAACCACCAAGGAUCCAGAUGAUUUCACCACAACUUGUGCUGCUCCUCGAGCUACACUACCAAAGCGCUAGAGUACUACACCGAGGCACCUACUGAGACUACGCAACUACGUAUGCUGCCCCAACCUACGACACCGAGGCUCCAGCUUAUUACAUCACCAAAGCUGUCGAAUUCUACACUGGAGCGCCAAAGUACGACAGAAAUCAGUCAAGUGAGCUUCUCCGACACCCAACACGGCAACCCCGAAGUUUCGAAUAAACUUCGUUUCAAACAGUGGCAAAAAGUGAAGACGAAUUCGACUGCAAUCGCGUCGAAUUGAAUAGCAAAGAUAACAUAUUCGUACGUGUACACCGCGCCGUUAAACUUGACAUUGUCGGUCGGCAAGCCGCACUUGACGAUGGCCGUACCAUCACCUACGACAAGUGCGUUAUUGCCACAGGUGUUAAACGAAAAUCUCUUCCAAUCCCUGAGCGGUGCCCUUAAAGAUGCCCACGAGCACGUAGCGCUGUUCCGCAACAUCGAUGGCGGUAACAUAGGUCGAGUUCCCCGUUCUCCUAAAUAUUUGAGCCAAUGGACAACCGAGAAGGUGAAAGCGGAAAGUGUUAAUGGUUUGCUCAAAGCUAAUGUGGAGGGUGCAAUUUUCGAAGACUACAAGGUCGCAUUGACCUUAAACAAUGGUCAAAAGCAGAUUUAAACUGACCAUGUCGUCGCUGCUGUCGGUUGGGACGUAAACACGGAUUUGGCUGUUGCUUUUGGUUUGGAAAUAGAAGAGAGGAGAUUUUGGUGGUUAUCGAGUGAAUACCGAGCUUGAAGCACGAUCGAACGUUUGGUUGGCUGGAGAUGUUACGUUCUUUUGUGAUAUCAAAUUGGGUCGCUGGUGUAUGGAACAUGAUCACCAUGCUGUUGCAUCAGGGCGAUUGGCUGGAGAGAACAAUACUGGCAAAGAAACAAGGAUAAAAAAUUGCAGUGCACUGUUAACAAGUGCAUUCUUCGUCGUAAUAUCAGUACGCAAUCGGUUGAUUGUGAUGUCGUGAUGUCGCCGUUUGCCGUAUCGUUGAAGGCUGGGUCGAUCACUGGUGUACCGAUGUCUCCUGGGUAUGGCGGAUACCAAAGCACCACGCCGCCGCCUUGCUACACAACGACAACAUUCGCAAGAACCGGUUACUACACUGAGGCACACUAUUACUACACCACCAAGGCUCCAGAGUAUUACACCGAAGCUGAUGCUGCCCCGAGUUACAACAUCAAACGUACUACACCGAAGCUCCCAAGUACUAAAACCACCAAGUCACCAGAGUAUUACACGUAUGUUGCCCCAGCUUGCUGCAUCGAGGCUCCCAAGUAUUACCUAGUUCCUAGCUACUACACCGAGGCUCCAAAUUAUUACACCACCAAAGCGGCUGAAUACUACACCGAGCCGCCCAAGUACUACACCAACAAGGCUCCCACCACAACUU
Molecule: unclassified non-coding RNA, 1932 nt
Filed under: Daphnia pulex (common water flea)
Lineage: Eukaryota; Metazoa; Arthropoda; Branchiopoda; Diplostraca; Daphniidae
Description: apoptosis-inducing factor 1, mitochondrial-like, transcript variant X3
Source: RNAcentral